Hevea brasiliensis (rubber tree) is the source of this 723-nucleotide long non-coding RNA. RefSeq lists it as uncharacterized. NCBI's taxonomy places the organism in Eukaryota, Viridiplantae, Streptophyta, Magnoliopsida, Malpighiales, Euphorbiaceae. The record is from RefSeq and is a predicted model, not a curated record. The transcript has 3 exons.
UUUUAUGCUUGAGAUGUAAGGUCUGCGCGUUAUCAUGAAUGGGGGGGAGUGAGGACAGGUGAGAGGGUGAGAAGAGUGAUGCGGUGAUAAACAGAGGCAGAGUAGGGGUGAUGAACGGAAUUUCGGGGAGGAGAAUGCCGCCACCUACUGCGAGGGCGAUUGCUAGGGCUUUCUCUGCCGUGGAAGUGACGGAAAGUACGAAGCUACCUGUGGCUGUGUGGAGCCAAGCGGCGCUAAAUUUCGGUGAGGAGUUAGGGUUCAUGCGGAGAUUAAGAACGGUAUUAGUGGUGAUUCAACAGCUGGGUUUAAUCUGAGAAGGAUUCCAUUUUUGGUGAUGAACAAAAUAGGGAUUGAGCACAUGGACUGUGAUGAUUCGAAAUUGAAAAGGCAGCCUACAAGAACUAUGAAGACCAUCUAUGACUUUUUGAAGUAAAAAUGAUGGAGACAGAGUAUUGUGGCUGUUGUUGUGAAGGCUGUUGGAGAAAGCUACGAGUCAUCCACCUCCCUCAGCAUUGCUAAGUCCGUAAAGAAUGUUUAAAGUUCACGCCUCUGUUUCAGUCCAGACGCUCAAGCCCAAGGACAAGUCUGAUUGCUUUGGUGUUUUUUUGCCAAACAUAACAUCUAUAUGUGGUUCAUACCCUUUAUUCUAUAAUAUCAAAAUCAUGUGUGUUUCUUUAAUUUUAUAGAUUUUAUCGGGCUUUAAUGGAUGGUUGUUUCUUCUGA